RNAcentral lists this ribosomal RNA (1322 nucleotides) under uncultured bacterium. Its description in RNAcentral is "bacterial SSU rRNA". It matches the Rfam family "Bacterial small subunit ribosomal RNA", at positions 28 to 1398 of the family's 1533-position model. The record is from RNAcentral.
GAUGAACGCUGGCGGCGUGCUUAACACAUGCAAGUCGAACGAACCUUCGGGUUAGUGGCGGACGGGUGAGUAACGCGUGGGAAUCUGCCCUCAGGAGGGGGAUAACGGUUGGAAACGACCGCUAAUACCCCAUAUGCCGAGAGGUGAAAUGAAUUUCGCCUGAGGAUGAGCCCGCGUCUGAUUAGCUUGUUGGUGAGGUAAUGGCUCACCAAGGCUUCGAUCAGUAGCUGGUCUGAGAGGAUGAUCAGCCACACUGGGACUGAGACACGGCCCAGACUCCUACGGGAGGCAGCAGUGGGGAAUUUUCCGCAAUGGGCGAAAGCCUGACGGAGCAACGCCGCGUGAGGGACGAAGGCCUCUGGGCUGUAAACCUCUUUUCUCAAGGAAGAAGAUAUGACGGUACUUGAGGAAUAAGCCACGGCUAAUUCCGUGCCAGCAGCCGCGGUAAUACGGGAGUGGCAAGCGUUAUCCGGAAUUAUUGGGCGUAAAGCGUCCGCAGGCGGCCUUUCAAGUCUGCUGUUAAAACGUGGAGCUCAACUCCAUCAUGGCAGUGGAAACUGAUAGGCUUGAGUAUGGUAGGGGCAGAGGGAAUUCCCGGUGUAGCGGUGAAAUGCGUAGAUAUCGGGAAGAACACCAGUGGCGAAGGCGCUCUGCUGGGCCAUAACUGACGCUCAUGGACGAAAGCCAGGGGAGCGAAAGGGAUUAGAUACCCCUGUAGUCCUGGCCGUAAACGAUGAACACUAGGUGUCGGGGGAAUCGACCCCUUCGGUGUCGUAGCUAACGCGUUAAGUGUUCCGCCUGGGGAGUACGCACGCAAGUGUGAAACUCAAAGGAAUUGACGGGGGCCCGCACAAGCGGUGGAGUAUGUGGUUUAAUUCGAUGCAACGCGAAGAACCUUACCAGGGUUUGACAUCCUGCGAACCUUUAAGAAAUUAGAGGGUGCCUUCGGGAACGCAGUGACAGGUGGUGCAUGGCUGUCGUCAGCUCGUGUCGUGAGAUGUUGGGUUAAGUCCCGCAACGAGCGCAACCCACGUUUUUAGUUGCCAGCAUUUAGUUGGGCACUCUAGAAAGACCGCCGGUGAUAAACCGGAGGAAGGUGUGGAUGACGUCAAGUCAUCAUGCCCCUUACAUCCUGGGCUACACACGUACUACAAUGCUACGGACAAAGGGCAGCAAUCUCGCGAGAGCUAGCAAAUCCCAUAAACCGUGGCUCAGUUCAGAUCGUAGGCUGCAACUCGCCUACGUGAAGUAGGAAUCGCUAGUAAUCGCAGGUCAGCAUACUGCGGUGAAUACGUUCCCGGGCCUUGUACACACCGCCCGUC